RNAcentral lists this small RNA (119 nucleotides) under Escherichia coli. RNAcentral's name for it is "partial RtT sRNA". It matches the Rfam family "RtT RNA". From Rfam's summary of the family: This family represents a bacterial cis-regulatory element known as RtT RNA. The exact function of RtT is unknown although it is thought that it may be involved in changing the cellular response in relation to amino acid starvation. The record is from RNAcentral. Lineage: Bacteria; Pseudomonadati; Pseudomonadota; Gammaproteobacteria; Enterobacterales; Enterobacteriaceae. RNAcentral also lists the same sequence under 2 other names.
GGGGAAGGGUGAGAACCUUCGACUAAGGUUCGAUUCGAGCGAAAGCGAGAGAACGUUGCCACAGGCAACGGCCCGAAGGGUGAGGAGCGAAGCGACGAAUAAUCCUUCCCCCACCACCA